RNAcentral lists this small nuclear RNA (65 nucleotides) under Canis lupus familiaris (dog). RNAcentral describes it as "U4 spliceosomal RNA". It matches the Rfam family "U4 spliceosomal RNA", at positions 1 to 65 of the family's 138-position model. Rfam says of the family: U4 small nuclear RNA (U4 snRNA) is a component of the major U2-dependent spliceosome. The structure of U4 snRNA from yeast and human has been reported. U4 snRNA presents a k-turn RNA motif in the 5p-SL related to recognition of Snu13 protein. The record is from Rfam by way of RNAcentral. Lineage: Eukaryota; Metazoa; Chordata; Mammalia; Carnivora; Canidae.
AGCUUUGCACAGUGGCAGUAUCGUAGCCAAUGAGGUUUAUCCAAGGCACGAUUACUGUUAAUCUA